GGGUGCGUAGCUCAAUGGUAGAGCAGUGGUCUCUUAAGCCAUUGGUUGAGCGUUCGAGUCGCUCCGCACCCACCA
RNAcentral lists this transfer RNA (75 nucleotides) under Candidatus Berkelbacteria bacterium CG_4_10_14_0_8_um_filter_42_34. Its description in RNAcentral is "tRNA-Lys". It matches the Rfam family "tRNA". Rfam says of the family: Transfer RNA (tRNA) molecules are approximately 80 nucleotides in length. Their secondary structure includes four short double-helical elements and three loops (D, anti-codon, and T loops). Further hydrogen bonds mediate the characteristic L-shaped molecular structure. tRNAs have two regions of fundamental functional importance: the anti-codon, which is responsible for specific mRNA codon recognition, and the 3' end, to which the tRNAs corresponding amino acid is attached (by aminoacyl-tRNA synthetases). tRNAs cope with the degeneracy of the genetic code in two manners: having more than one tRNA (with a specific anti-codon) for a particular amino acid; and 'wobble' base-pairing, i.e. permitting non-standard base-pairing at the 3rd anti-codon position. The record is from RNAcentral. RNAcentral also lists the same sequence under 1 other name. Lineage: Bacteria; Candidatus Berkelbacteria.